CACAUUUUUCUGGGUCAGGAUGUCCAACAGAGAUCAGAAUGGCAAUUCUCCUACACGUGGUUUUGACUGAGAUCUCUCAGAGGUAUUCAGCUGCCAGUUGUUCUGGCCUGAAGGACUAAAUACAGCGUCCCUUGAAUCCCUGUAACCUUGGAUGGGAUGGAUGAGAGGCUGGGAUUAGCUCAAAUUUCAUGCUGCUUGUUUUGUUUGGGGACUGUCCUGCCAGGUGGUUGGAAGCCCUCUAGGAGAACUAGCUUCAGAAGCAUUCAUAGAAGCCACUAAUUCAAGAUAUGAGUGCAAGAUGUUUAUGUGAAAAUCCCAGGACCGAGAAGGAAAAACCACCCACAAAGGAUGGCUACCAAGCAUCCUAACUAUUGAGAACACCCAAAGCUACAUCGUGCUGGAGAGAACACAUCAGACAGUGGAGAUCCUAUGACUUAGAGUUAUCUCAGAAAGGAAGACGAGGUGCUGAAGUAUUGAUACACAAAUUCCCAUCGUCCAAAGGAUGAACUCUGCUCCUCUUGAAACAAUUUACUCAUAGAGUUAGAAAUCUGCCUUUCAUUACUUCUCCCUCAUAGGCCCUGUUCCUUUGGAACCAUGCAUGGUACAUUCAAUCCCUUUGGACAUUACAGAUUUACAGCUGCUGGAAGAUAAAUGGUGAUACAUUGGAGCUGGCUCAUGUGGACAGUGAUGUGAUGGAUAAUUGCCCAUUUCUUUCCAACUCGGUGGUCAGUGAUGUCAUAUGAGUUGUUUGAAAUUGAUCAUGACACAUUUUCACUUCAGAAAACAGAGAACAAACAAAACAAAAAUCCAAAAAACAAAUCAGAACUUCUUCUGAGAGCCAGUUGUUAGACUUUUAUUAACCACCCCUUGUUGGCUACCACUGAAAAGCUGAACUCUGAAGAAGGCAAUUAUCUGCUGACCCAGAGUUCUAAAGACAAGAUAAGGGAGUUCUGCAUAAACCUUGUUAUUCUACAAAUGUGCCUUAGAGGGAUGCACCUGUGCUAAUAGUUUCCUUUGUUAUUCAUUAAGAGGUAGUUUUGUCAUUGCCUAAGACUGUUCCUG
Molecule: long non-coding RNA, 1062 nt
Filed under: Sus scrofa (pig)
Lineage: Eukaryota; Metazoa; Chordata; Mammalia; Artiodactyla; Suidae
Description: lncRNA (ENSSSCG00070011805.1)
Source: RNAcentral